Molecule: ribosomal RNA, 408 nt
Filed under: Triticum aestivum (bread wheat)
Lineage: Eukaryota; Viridiplantae; Streptophyta; Magnoliopsida; Poales; Poaceae
Description: partial small subunit ribosomal RNA
Source: RNAcentral
AUGAGCCUCGCUUUGAGGAAUUCAGACAGAUGGAUCUUAUAUGAAUCAUAUGAUGAAGUACCACAUGAGUGGAUAUAUAGGAAAGGAAUCCAAAUCUGCCGAAUCGCUCAUGUUAUGAUCUUCUACAUCCUAGGUCUCUGCGUUCCGUCAUCUGGCUUAUGUUCUUCAUGUAUGAAGCAUGAGAGAUCAAUAAUUUCUUUGAAACAAAUCCACCACCGUGCUUUAAAAGAUCUAAGUGAAGCACAUAGAGCAAAAUUAUCACGCUCAAAAGAUAUAAGUGAAGCACAUAGAGCAAAACUACUAAGCUCAAAAGAUAUAAGUGAAGCACAUAGAGUAUUCUAUCAAAUUCCAAUUCAUAUAAGGCUCUCUCAAAAGGUGUGUACAGCAAGGAUGAUUGUGGCACACUAA